AAUCCGUGGUGAGGGCAUUCCCUAUAGUAAACUUUGAACCGCUCCCAAGCUUCAUGGAAUGAUUUAGUACCGGUUUGCUGAAAGGAGGAGAUCUCAUUCCUCAUAAU
Molecule: small nucleolar RNA, 107 nt
Organism: Arabidopsis thaliana (thale cress)
Lineage: Eukaryota; Viridiplantae; Streptophyta; Magnoliopsida; Brassicales; Brassicaceae
Rfam family: Plant small nucleolar RNA R71
About the family: R71 is a member of the C/D box family of snoRNAs containing the C (UGAUGA) and D (CUGA) box motifs. Multiple nearly identical copies of this snoRNA have been identified in Arabidopsis, and it is thought to function as a 2'-O-ribose methylation guide for 18S ribosomal RNA.
Source: Rfam